Molecule: antisense RNA, 71 nt
Filed under: Agrobacterium tumefaciens str. Kerr 14
Lineage: Bacteria; Pseudomonadati; Pseudomonadota; Alphaproteobacteria; Hyphomicrobiales; Rhizobiaceae
Description: ctRNA_p42d
Rfam family: ctRNA (bases 13-58)
About the family: This family represents a group of ctRNAs (or counter-transcribed RNAs) from p42d and related plasmids. ctRNAs are small, highly structured, antisense sequences which are involved in negative regulation. Members of this family are known to bind to the mRNA of repC causing translational repression. This model contains the predicted stem-loop structure followed by a U-rich tract which is proposed to act as a Rho-independent transcriptional terminator.
Source: RNAcentral
GCUUACACUAUGAGAGAGGCUUCCAUGACGGCGACGUUUGGGGGCCUUUUUCUUUUGCUGUUGCUCUUCCU